RNAcentral lists this transfer RNA (73 nucleotides) under Pseudomonadota bacterium. RNAcentral describes it as "tRNA-Thr(cgt)". It matches the Rfam family "tRNA". From Rfam's summary of the family: Transfer RNA (tRNA) molecules are approximately 80 nucleotides in length. Their secondary structure includes four short double-helical elements and three loops (D, anti-codon, and T loops). Further hydrogen bonds mediate the characteristic L-shaped molecular structure. tRNAs have two regions of fundamental functional importance: the anti-codon, which is responsible for specific mRNA codon recognition, and the 3' end, to which the tRNAs corresponding amino acid is attached (by aminoacyl-tRNA synthetases). tRNAs cope with the degeneracy of the genetic code in two manners: having more than one tRNA (with a specific anti-codon) for a particular amino acid; and 'wobble' base-pairing, i.e. permitting non-standard base-pairing at the 3rd anti-codon position. The record is from RNAcentral. Lineage: Bacteria; Pseudomonadati; Pseudomonadota. RNAcentral also lists the same sequence under 3 other names.
GCCAGUGUAGCUCAGUUGGUAGAGCGGCGCAUUCGUAAUGCGCAGGUCCUCGGUUCGAGUCCGAGCACUGGCU